UGGGGAAUUUUGGACAAUGGGGGAAACCCUGAUCCAGCCAUCCCGCGUGUGCGAUGAAGGCCUUCGGGUUGUAAAGCACUUUUGGCAGGAAAGAAACGUCAUGGGUUAAUACCCCGUGAAACUGACGGUACCUGCAGAAUAAGCACCGGCUAACUACGUGCCAGCAGCCGCGGUAAUACGUAGGGUGCAAGCGUUAAUCGGAAUUACUGGGCGUAAAGCGUGCGCAGGCGGUUCGGAAAGAAAGAUGUGAAAUCCCAGAGCUCAACUUUGGAACUGCAUUUUUAACUACCGGGCUAGAGUGUGUCAGGGGGAGGUGGAAUUGCGAGUGUAGCAGUGAAAUGCGUAGAUGUGCGGAAGAACGCCGAUGGGGAAGGCAGCCUCCUGGGAUAACACUGACGCUCAUGCACGAAAGCGUGGGGAGCAGACAGG
RNAcentral lists this ribosomal RNA (429 nucleotides) under Acidobacteriota bacterium. Its description in RNAcentral is "Acidobacteria bacterium partial 16S ribosomal RNA". It matches the Rfam family "Bacterial small subunit ribosomal RNA", at positions 355 to 776 of the family's 1533-position model. The record is from RNAcentral. Lineage: Bacteria; Pseudomonadati; Acidobacteriota.